CUUUAUUAAUUCAAACUUACAAUAACUAAUUUUUUGGGCCACUUGGGGACAUCAGAAACAAGUUGUGAAGACAA
Etheostoma spectabile (orangethroat darter) is the source of this 74-nucleotide long non-coding RNA. RefSeq lists it as uncharacterized. Lineage: Eukaryota; Metazoa; Chordata; Actinopteri; Perciformes; Percidae. The transcript is spliced from 3 exons. The record is from RefSeq and is a predicted model, not a curated record.